GCUUCUAUGCCUGAACAAAGGAUUGCCUUGAUAGGGCAAAUUAUGCCCAGCUAUCCGCG
RNAcentral lists this transfer RNA (59 nucleotides) under Schizopera knabeni. RNAcentral describes it as "tRNA-Ile". The record is from RNAcentral. Lineage: Eukaryota; Metazoa; Arthropoda; Copepoda; Harpacticoida; Miraciidae.